GCCUGGGUGGCUCAGUCAGUUGAGCGUCUGACUUCAGCUCAGGUCAUGAUCUCAUGGUUUGUGAGUUCGAGCCCCACCACAGGCU
This 85-nucleotide transfer RNA is filed under the name Felis catus (domestic cat). It matches the Rfam family "tRNA". From Rfam's summary of the family: Transfer RNA (tRNA) molecules are approximately 80 nucleotides in length. Their secondary structure includes four short double-helical elements and three loops (D, anti-codon, and T loops). Further hydrogen bonds mediate the characteristic L-shaped molecular structure. tRNAs have two regions of fundamental functional importance: the anti-codon, which is responsible for specific mRNA codon recognition, and the 3' end, to which the tRNAs corresponding amino acid is attached (by aminoacyl-tRNA synthetases). tRNAs cope with the degeneracy of the genetic code in two manners: having more than one tRNA (with a specific anti-codon) for a particular amino acid; and 'wobble' base-pairing, i.e. permitting non-standard base-pairing at the 3rd anti-codon position. Lineage: Eukaryota; Metazoa; Chordata; Mammalia; Carnivora; Felidae. The record is from Rfam by way of RNAcentral.